GCGGAAGUUUAAUAUGCAAAAGAAAGAGAAGAGUUCUCUGCUGCAGAGAGGGGUCUCAGAAAAAUGGGUUGCCGGAUCCGCGGUGAAAUGCAGGAGGUUUUAUAGAUGAGCUGGUGGGGAGGCGGCGUCUGAUCUACAUAGGCAAGAAAGGGCAAGAAAGACUGGUUAGACCAGUUGUGCUAUUUGCAUAGGGCACGAAUCUCUGGUAUCCCCCAUCCUAACCUUUUUUUAUUAUCCAGGCGCGUCUCUGCCUGAGGUGCACCAUGUUGCCCAUUUCUUUAUUACUGUACACGUGAUAACAAAAAAAGAGAAGAUGGAGCCUCCAUGUUGGACAUGGCCGCCCCCAGAUGGAGCCCCGGGGGGGCCGUGGCUGGCCUGGAGCUGGGGUGGCAGAGUCUCUCUCCUGGUUUUGCUCUCACAGAGCGUGACAUCUCCCUGGAGCAAGGUGGGACCACUGCUGAGCUCACAUCAGUCACUGUACUUCCUAGGAAGUUUUCUGAUACAACGUCAUUUCCUGUAAGUUGGGAUUUUUGCACACAGGACAAAACAAAGAUGACAGCUCAUCUCUCUUGACCCUGGUAUUGCACUUUUUACAAAUUGAAGGUUUGUGGCAACCCUGCAUUGAGCAAGUCUAUCUGUUCCAUUUUUCCAACAGCGUGUAUUCACUUCCUGUCUCUGUGUUACAUUUUGGUAAUUCUUGUAAUAUUUCAAAUUUUUCAUAAUGAUAUGUAUUAUGACGAUCUUUGAUGUUACUAUUGCAAUUUUUUUGGGGUGCCACAAACCACACCCAUAUAAUAUGGCAAACGAAAUCCAUCAAUAUUGUGUGUUCUGACUUCUCCACCAAAUGUGUUACCGAGUGGCCAUUCCCUCAUCUCUCUCCCUCUCCUCGGGCCUCCCUGUUCCCUGAGGCACAACAAUUUUGAAAUUAGGCCAAUAAAUACGCCUACAAUGGCCUCUAAGAGUUCAAAUGAAAGGAAAAGCACACAUCUCUCUCUUUAAAUCAAAAGCAAGAAACGAUUAAGCUUACUGAGGAAGGCAUGUCAAAAACCAACAUAGGCUAAAAGCCAGGCCUCUUGUGCUAAACAGCCAUGUUGUGAAAGCAAAAACAAUGUGAAAUGCAAAAGAAGAAAAUGUAAAAUGCUACUCCAGUCAACACACAAAUAAUAAGAAAGUGAAACAACCUUAUUGCUGAUAUAGCUAAGGUUUGAGUGGUGUAGAUAGAAGAUCAAACCAGCCAUGACAUUCCCUUAAGACAAAGCCUAAUCCAGAGGAAGCCCCUAACUCUCUUCAAUUCUAUGAAGGCUCAGAGAGGUGAGGAAGCUACAGAAGAAAAGUUAGAAGCCAGCAGAAGUUGCUUCAAGAGGUUUAAGGAAAGAGGGCAUCACCAUAGCAUGAAAGUGCAAGAUGAAUCCCAAGCGCUGAUGGAGAAGCUGCAGCAACUUAUCCACAAGAUCUAGCUAAGAUAAUUGAUGAAGGUGGGUACACUCAACAGUAGAUUUUAAAUGUAGACAAAACAGCCUUCUGUUGGAAGAAGAUGCCAUCUAGGUCUUUCAUAGCUAGAGAGAAGUCAAGGCCUGGCUUCAAAGCUUCGAAGAACAAGCCGACUCUCUUGUUAGGGGCUAAGGCAGCUGGUGACUUUAAGUUGAAGCUAGUGUUCAUUUACCUUUCUGAAAAUCCCAGGGCUCCUAAGAAUUAUGCUAAGUCUACUCUUCCCACACCCCCUAAAUGAAACAACAAAGCCUGGAUGACAGUAUAUCUCUUUUUCUUUCUUUCUUUCUUUUCUUUUUUUUUUUGAGACAGAGUCUUGCUCUGUUGCCCAGGCUGUAGUGCAGUAGUGCAAUUUCAGCUCACUGCAACCUCUGCCUCCUGAGUUCCAGCAAUUCUCCUGCCUCAGUCUCCCAAGUAGCUGGGAUUACAGGUGCCUGCCACCACGCCUGGCUAAUUUUUAUAUUUUUAGUAGAGAUAGGGCUUCACCAUGUUGGUCAGGCUGGUCUCAAACUCCUGAUCUCAAGUGAUCCGCCUUCCUCGGCCUCCCAAAGUGCUAGGAUUACAGGUGUGAGCCACCAUGCCCGGCCAACAGUAUAUAUCUUUAUAGCAUGGUUUACUGAAUAUUUUAACCCCAUUGUUGAGAUCUACUGCUCAGAAAUAAAAAUUCCUUUCAAAAUAUUACUGCUCAUUGACAGUGCACCUGCUCACCCAAGAGCUCCGAUGGAGACGUACAAGGAGAUUCAUGUUGUUCUCAUGCCUGCUGACACAACAUCCAUUCUUCAGCCCAUGGGUCAAGGAGUCAUUUUGACUUUCAAGUCUUAUUAUUUAAGAAAUACAUUUUGUAAGGUUAGAGCUGCAAUAAUGAUUCCCCUCACAGCUCUGAGCAAAUACACUGAAAACCUUCUGGAAAAGACUCACCAUCCUAUAUGCCAUUAAGGACACUGGUGAUUCAUGGAAGGAGGUCAAAAUAUCAACAUUAACAGAAGUUCAGAAGAAGUUGAUUCUCUGGAACCUCAAAGAUGAACCCCUCAAAGUUCAUCCUCAAAGUUGAACCCCUCAAAGUUAAUCCUCAUGGAUAAAGUUGGACACCUCAAAAUUCAUCCUCAUGGAUGACUUUGAGGGGUUCAAGACUUCAGUGGAGGAAGGAACAUCAGAUGGGAUGGAAAUAGCACAAGAACUCGAAUUAGAAGUGGAGGCUGAAGAUGUGACUGAAUUGCUAAAAUCUCAUGAACAAACUUGAAUGGAUGAGGAGCUGCUUCUAUGGAUGAGCAAAGAAAGUGGUUUCUUGAGAUGGAAUCAACUCUUGCUGAAGAUGCUGUGAACAUUGUUGAAAUGACAACAAAUUAUUUCAAAUAUUACAUGAACUUACUUGAUAAAGCAGCGGCAGGGUUUGAGAGGAUUGACUCCAAUUUUGAAACAAGUUCUACUGUGGUGGGUAAAAUGCUAUCAAACAGUAUCCUGUGUUGCAGAAAAAUACUUCAUGAAAGACAGAGUCAAUCAAUGAGGCAAAUUUCAUUGUUGUCUUAUUUUAAGAAAUUGCCACAGUCAUUCCAACCUUCAGCAACCACCUCCCUAAUCAAUCAGUAGUUAUCAACAUUGAGGCAAGACCCUCCACCAGCAAAAAGAUUACAACUUGCUGAAGGCUCAGAUAAUCAUUAGCAUUACCAACCCAAAUGUCCAUCAAUGAUAGACUGGAUAAAGAAAAUGUGCCACAUAUAUGCCAUGGAAUACUAUGCAGCCAUAAAGAAGAAUGAGAUCAUGUCCUUUGCAGGGACAUGGAUGAAGCUGGAAACCAUCAUUCUCAGCAAACUAACACAGGAACAGAAAACCAAACACUGCAUGUUCUCACUCAUAAGUGGGAGUUUAACAAUAAGAACACAUGGACAUGGGGCGGGGAACAUCACACACUGGGGCCUGUAGAGGGGUGGAGGGCAAGGGGAGGGAGAGCAUUAGGACAAAUACCUAAUGCAUGAGGGGCUUAAAACCUAGAUGAUGGGUUGGUAGGUGCAGCAAACCACCACGGCACAUGUGUACCUAUGUAACAAAUCUGCACGUUCUGCACAUGUGUCCCAGAGCUUAAAGUAAAAAAAGAAAAGAAACCAGUAGUUGCCCCUACUGUCUGUUCUUCCUUUUUCCUUACUAGAAAAAUCUACACGUUUUUAUUGGGCACAAGGCCUACUCAGAAGAAAAUAUAUAUUUCUACACCAGCAUUGUAGCUAAGUGCAAUCGCAGUGGUGAAGUCCUAUGCAAUAUGUAAAUGUUGUGAGAAGAUAUUUAAAUGGAGUGGACAUGCCCAUUUCCUCUUCUCUCUUUCUCCUGGCUAUAAAGUAGAUGUGAUGGCUGGAGCUAGAGUGACCAUCUGGAACCACCUGGUGAACUUGAGCUUGAGACUCUAACACUGCAGAGUGUCAUACCAACUGUGAUGACCUACUCAGACUUCUAAGUAAGACAGCAAUAAACUUCAUUCUGAUUUAACCCACUGUUACUUUGAGCUUUUUCUAUUACAGUCAAGUCUAAUCCUAACCGAUAUAUGCUCCCUUCAACUUUUCCUCAGGCACUGGGAGAAAAGACAGAGCACAAAAGAUGCAACCUCAAACUGAAUUUCUAAGAGGAAGACGAGUCUCAGGGCAAUGGGAA
RNAcentral lists this long non-coding RNA (4125 nucleotides) under Homo sapiens (human). RNAcentral's name for it is "HSALNT0247111". The stretch from base 2745 to 2810 matches the Rfam family "mir-1255 microRNA precursor family". The record is from RNAcentral. Lineage: Eukaryota; Metazoa; Chordata; Mammalia; Primates; Hominidae.